RNAcentral lists this ribosomal RNA (253 nucleotides) under uncultured bacterium. RNAcentral's name for it is "partial 16S ribosomal RNA". It matches the Rfam family "Bacterial small subunit ribosomal RNA", at positions 524 to 776 of the family's 1533-position model. The record is from RNAcentral.
UACGUAGGUGACCAGCGUUGUCCGGAUUUACUGGGCGUAAAGCGUCCGCAGGUGGCUGUUCAAGUCUGCUGUCAAAGCGCAGAGCUUAACUCUGUACAGGCGGUGGAAACUGAAGAGCUAGAGUAUGGUAGGGGUAGAGGGAAUUCCCGGUGUAGCGGUGAAAUGCGUAGAUAUCGGGAAGAACACCAGUGGCGAAAGCGCUCUACUGGGCCAUAACUGACACUGAGGGACGAAAGCUAGGGGAGCGAAAGGG